RNAcentral lists this ribosomal RNA (253 nucleotides) under uncultured bacterium. RNAcentral's name for it is "partial 16S ribosomal RNA". It matches the Rfam family "Bacterial small subunit ribosomal RNA", at positions 524 to 776 of the family's 1533-position model. The record is from RNAcentral.
UACGGAGGAUGCAAGCGUUAUCCGGAAUUAUUGGGCGUAAAGCGUCCGCAGGUGGUUUUACAAGUCUGCUGUCAAAGCGUGGAGCUUAACUCCAUAAAGGCAGUGGAAACUGUGAGACUAGAGUUCGGUAGGGGUUACGGGAAUUCCCAGUGUAGCGGUGAAAUGCGUAGAUAUUGGGAAGAACACCAGCGGCGAAAGCGCGUAACUGGGCCUGAACUGACACUGAGGGACGAAAGCUAGGGGAGCGAAUGGG